ACGCUCGACACCUACGGGAGGUAGCAGUCGGGAAUAUUGCGCAAUGGAGGAAACUCUGACGCAGUGACGCCGCGUGCAGGAAGAAGGUUUUCGGAUUGUAAACUGCUUUAGACAGGGAAGAAAAAAGACAGUACCUGUAGAAUAAGCUCCGGCUAACUACGUGCCACAGCCGCGGUAAUCUGAGCGGGCUGGCAAGGC
Molecule: ribosomal RNA, 198 nt
Filed under: uncultured bacterium
Lineage: Bacteria
Description: partial 16S ribosomal RNA
Rfam family: Bacterial small subunit ribosomal RNA
Source: RNAcentral